ACAUGCUCUCUCUCUCCCCCCCAGGGGCAUGCAGAAAUGUGCCAGCAGCUGGCUGCUUCUGGGAGCUCCAUGAGGCUAUGGCAGGGAGGCAGGCAGCGUGCCUGAGCCCUGCUGCACCACCGUCCAGGAGCAGCCUGUACGGCCAUUGUCACCAAGAGACGGAUCGUUCGUCAACAGUGAAUGACGCGGGAGACCUUGAGGAGGAGGCCUUGUCUCCAGACAGUGUUGUAUGCUGAGGACAGAUCAACAAGGGUGAUUCCUGUCUUCAAGUUACGUUGGAAUCCUGUCUCAGUGUGGCUGGUGCACUGAAUUCAAGGACUCAAGGAGCGCAAUGGCUUUGUCUGGGUUGCUUCUCCUUUCAUAUUCCCUCAGGAGCGACUCACAUUCUUUUGUCAAGCAGGGGAUGAAAGCCUUGCAGUGACCACGUGGGAUGUACUUCUUAGCAGUCAAUUUUAGGAUGUUUGUAAAUCGGCCAAAGUUUCUAGUUUGGCCCUGGAACUGAAAAAUCGAUUAUUCACUCAUGUCUACAUAUGGGGCCCCAAAGAGCCACACAUCCAGCCUGGCUGAAUAUGGUGGAAUAGACACCCUGGAAGACAGUUUGGUUGAAAAGCUACUAACGAUGGUUGGACAUUUAGCCACCAGCAUCAAAAGCGGUAAUUUGAUCCAUGUUGGUAUCUGCAUUUUUACCUGAACUAGAUCUGGACCCUAAAGAAAGGAAACAGAGCAAGAAAGUUACCUGUAGCUCCUAAAUUGUAGUGAACAGAGCUAGAGGUACCUUCUGGCAAAACUGAAAAGGGGAACAAGGUUUAUUUUAAAUUGAGAAAUUCACUCAGUGAAUUCUGUGGGAUUAGACUAGAGUCCCUGCCGUUAACCAAUGGAGACAGGUAUCAGGACUCCUAAAUUAGCCAGGACACAGCAUUAACUUUCAAUAGAGUUACUGCAAUGGACACAGGAAUCAUUAGCCUGCAAACAUCUUGCCUGAGACAACCAUUGACCAAACAGGUAAAAGAGGGAUUUCACAAUAAUCUUUAUUUGUUGGUCUUUCUAUGAUGCUCAUGGUUACAUCAUCUUGAGCUUGCUACAGAAAUGACUAGCUUAACUAUUAGUAUUUUGCUAGGUCUACCUAGAUCAGAGAAAGAAGAGAAAAGACAAACAGAAUGAACUGCUCUAGACAAGGGUUAGGAGUCUGAUUCAAAAGGAAUUCGGCUGAGGCCAGUGAGAUUAUAGUGGAGUAAAACUGGCCUGCUGUGAGAGCAGAAGUAGGUCAAUUGUCUAUAACAUUGUAAGUGUUCAGUGCAUCUUAUUAUAUUUGAUGUACUGCAGGGAAAAUAAAAGAAAUUAGCUGGCCACCAAUUGUUAUUAGAAACAAGGUUAAUCAGAUGCACAAAUGCUAAAUUAGCUGCUGUUUUAUGUAGUUAGGUUCCUGGGAUUACACCUUUAAAUGUCUCAGUUAGAUACAGCCUUCCACACAGUUGGAUCUCUCAGGUCAGGUGAGAUAGUGUUACAACAGCCAUAAUGAAAUACAGUAAUGGUGGGGGGUGGAGGGGUAACACCACAAUACUGAGUCUGCAUAUCUUCUAAAAUGAAAUACAUGAUUAGAAUAAAUAAGCUGUUUUGUAAUGAAAGGGGAGCAACCCAGAAGUCACAGACAGCAAUUCAGAUGAAUUUUUAUAGCGAUGGCAGUGAGAUAAUAUGUUAUGAUCAAUUUGUGUCACGUAUAAGAUAACUUUUCCAUUUCGCUCAUCAGGGAAUAAUUUCAAGUCACAAAGCUUAUCAGCAUCAGUGUCAUAUAACUUAUCAGUCUCCAAGUUAUAUUCACCAGCACUGAUUACAUGGAUACUUCAGAGUUAGAGUCCCCUCUCUUUCUGGAAACAUUGGAAAAACAUCAAAGCAGCCUGGUUGGCAAUCUCACAAAUAGACCAAGGAUUGAAUGUCUAUGGAGACUGAACUGCAGGUGUUGCCUUCAGCUGAGGGUUUGGUCAGGGUCUUCUCUGCUACUGACUGUGCUUUGUGUGUUCCAUAUGUAACCCUUCUGCCAGGUGGAGCUGGCAGUAACCAGGGCCAGGUUCAAUAUUCUAGGGGUUCCUUUUCAACAAUAUAAACACAGACCCAGCUUGAGCCCCCACCCAG
This is a long non-coding RNA of Gopherus flavomarginatus (Mexican gopher tortoise), 2130 nucleotides long. RefSeq lists it as uncharacterized. NCBI's taxonomy places the organism in Eukaryota, Metazoa, Chordata, Testudines, Testudinidae. The transcript is spliced from 4 exons. The record is from RefSeq and is a predicted model, not a curated record.